GGCACAGCAUCGACUCCCUCUAAUACUAUGGAGCAGGAUGGCCACAAACUGGGCCAAAGUGUAGGACUUUCUAAGCGAUUUUAACUCAUUACAGACCAAUAUCUAAUCGAUCAGUUAAAUGACAUUAUUGUUGCUCUUGAUGAGAAGCAACGUCAUGCAUCAGUUUUUAUUGAUCCGUCGAAAGUGUUUGACACCGCUGACCGUAAUAUUUUAAAAAACUUCGACUCCUCUGUUAACAAAUUAUCUCAGUAAUAAGCCUCAAGGGGGCGCCACAGGGUUCUGUAUUAGGUCCUCUUUUGAAUUCUGCUCUCUACCAGAAAAACCUGAAGGAGAACCUUCGGCCAUCAGUUCGUGACCUCAAGCUGAAGAGCACUUGGGUUCCGCAGUAGAACAACGAUCUGCGAUCCUCCAGGUUCGUCUCCUCGGGUCGGUCGGGUUUCAUUCCUCCAGGUUCGUCUCCUCAAGUCGGCAGGGUUUCAUUCCUCCAGGUUCAUCUCCUCAAGUCGGCCAGGUUUCAUUCCUCCAGGUUCGUCUCCUCAGGUCGGCCAAGUUUCAUUCCUCCAGGUUCAUCUCCUCAAGUCGGCCAGGUUUCAUUCCUCCAGGUUCAUCCCCUCUGGUCGGUCGGGUUUCAUUCCUCCUAGUUUGUCCACUCAGGUCGGCCGGGUUUCAUUCUUCUUGGUUUGUCCACUCGGGUUGGCCUGGUUUCGUUCCUCCAGGUUCAUCUCCUCAGGUUGGCCUAGUUUCAUUCCUCCUAGUUUGUCCACUCGGGUUAGCCAAGUUUCAUUCCUCCAGGUUGGUCUCCUCAAGUCAGCAGGGUUUCAUUCCUCCAGGUUGGUCUCCUCAAGUCGGCCAAGUUUCAUUCCUCCAGGUUGGUCUCCUCAAGUCGGCAGAGUUUCAUUCCUCCUGGUUCAUUCACUCUACCAGAAAAUCCUGAAGGAGAAUGUUUGGCCAUCAGUUCGUGAUCUCAAGCUGAAGAGCACCUGGGUUCUACAGCAGAACAACGAUCCAAAACACACCAGCAAGUCGACGUCUGAAUGGCUUAAAAAAAAAAAAAGACUAAAGGAAGGUUUUGGAGUGGCCUAGUCAAAGUCUGGACUUGAAUCCAACUGAAAUGCUGUGGUAAGACCUUAAAAAGGCCGUUCAUCCUCGAAAACCCUCCAGUGUUGCUGAAUUAAAACAAUUCUGCCAAGAGGAGUGGACCAAAAUAUCUCCUGAGAGAUGUGGAAGACUCAUUGGCAGUUAUAGAAAACAUCUGAGUUCAGUUGUUGCUGCUGAGGGUGGCC
This is a long non-coding RNA of Amphiprion ocellaris (clown anemonefish), 1283 nucleotides long. The record is from Ensembl. Lineage: Eukaryota; Metazoa; Chordata; Actinopteri; Pomacentridae.